UACGGGGGGGGUAAGCGUUGUUCGGAAUUACUGGGCGUAAAGGGCUCGUAGGCGGCCAACUAAGUCGGACGUGAAAUCCCUCAGCUUAACUGGGGAACUGCGUCCGAUACUGGAUGGCUUGGAUUUGGGAGAGGGAUGCGGAAUUCCAGGUGUAGCGGUGAAAUGCGUAGAUAUCAAGAGGAACACCUGAGGUGAAGACGGGUUGCUGGGCCAACACUGACGCUGAUGCGCGAAAGCCAGGGGAGCAAACGGG
Molecule: ribosomal RNA, 253 nt
Filed under: uncultured bacterium
Lineage: Bacteria
Description: partial 16S ribosomal RNA
Rfam family: Bacterial small subunit ribosomal RNA
Source: RNAcentral